Molecule: ribosomal RNA, 442 nt
Filed under: uncultured Prevotellaceae bacterium
Lineage: Bacteria; Pseudomonadati; Bacteroidota; Bacteroidia; Bacteroidales; Prevotellaceae
Description: bacterial SSU rRNA
Rfam family: Bacterial small subunit ribosomal RNA
Source: RNAcentral
UGAGGAAUAUUGGUCAAUGGGCGAGAGUCUGAACCAGCCAAGUAGCGUGCAGGAUGACGGCCCUAUGGGUUGUAAACUGCUUUUAUGCGGGGAUAAAGUGUGCCAUGUAUGGCAUUUUGCAGGUACCGCAUGAAUAAGGACCGGCUAAUUCCGUGCCAGCAGCCGCGGUAAUACGGAAGGUCCAGGCGUUAUCCGGAUUUAUUGGGUUUAAAGGGAGCGUAGGCGGAUUUUUAAGUCAGUUGUGAAAGUUUGAGGCUCAACCUUAAAAUUGCAGUUGAAACUGGAAGUCUUGAGUGCACGCAGAGGUGCCGGAAUUCAUGGUGUAGCGGUGAAAUGCUUAGAUAUCAUGAAGAACUCCGAUCGCGAAGGCAAGUGCCUGGAGUGCUACUGACGCCGAGGCUCGAAAGUGCGGGUAUCAAACAGGAUUAGAUACCCUGGUAGU